GAUUAUGGCUCAGGAUUAACGCUGGCGGCGUGCCUAAUACAUGCAAGUCGAAUGGUAGCAAUACCAUGGCGAACGGGUGAGUAACACGUAGGUAACCUGUCUUUAAGCCGAGGAUAACCAUUGGAAACGAUGGAUAAUACUGGAUAGGACAUUUGAAGGCAUCUUUUAAUGUUUAAAGAUUUAUCACUUAGAGAGGGGCCUGCGGCGCAUUAGCUAGUUGGUGAGGUGAAGGCUUACCAAGGCGAUGAUGCGUAGCCGGACUGAGAGGUUGAACGGCCACAAUGGAACUGAGAACGGUCCAUACUCCUACGGGAGGCAGCAGUAGGGAAUUUUCGGCAAUGGGCGGAAGCCUGAACCCGAGCAACGCCGCGUGAACGAAGAAGUAUUUCGGUAUGUAAAGUUCUUUUAUUAGGGACGAAAAGACAGAUUGACGGUACCUAAUGAAUAAGCUCCGGCUAACUACGUGCCAGCAGCGGC
Molecule: ribosomal RNA, 477 nt
Filed under: uncultured bacterium
Lineage: Bacteria
Description: bacterial SSU rRNA
Rfam family: Bacterial small subunit ribosomal RNA
Source: RNAcentral